GACGAACGCUGGCGGCGUGCUUAACACAUGCAAGUCGAACGGUAAGGCCCUUCGGGGUACACGAGUGGCGAACGGGUGAGUAACACGUGGGUGAUCUGCCCUGCACUUCGGGAUAAGCCUGGGAAACUGGGUCUAAUACCGGAUAGGACCCUGGGAUGCAUGUCCUGGGGUGGAAAGCUUUUGCGGUGUGGGAUGGGCCCGCGGCCUAUCAGCUUGUUGGUGGGGUGAUGGCCUACCAAGGCGACGACGGGUAGCCGGCCUGAGAGGGUGACCGGUCACACUGGGAAUGAGAUACGGCCCAGACUCCUACGGGAGGCAGCAGUGGGGAAUAUUGCACAAUGGGCGCAAGCCUGAUGCAGCGACGCCGCGUGAGGGAUGACGGCCUUCGGGUUGUAAACCUCUUUCAGCUAUGACGAAGCGCAAGUGACGGUAGUAGCAGAAGAAGGACCGGCCAACUACGUGCCAGCAGCCGCAGUAA
Molecule: ribosomal RNA, 478 nt
Filed under: uncultured bacterium
Lineage: Bacteria
Description: partial 16S ribosomal RNA
Rfam family: Bacterial small subunit ribosomal RNA
Source: RNAcentral